AGACCCGAAACCCGGUGAUCUAGCCAUGGGCAGGUUGAAGGUUGGGUAACACUAACUGGAGGACCGAACCGACUAAUGUUGAAAAAUUAGCGGAUGACCUGUGGCUGGGGGUGAAAGGCCAAUCAAACCGGGAGAUAGCUGGUUCUCCCCGAAAGCUAUUUAGGUAGCGCCUCGUGAAUUCAUCUCCGGGGGUAGAGCACUGUUUCGGCUAGGGGGCCAUCCCGGCUUACCAACCCGAUGCAAACUGCGAAUACCGGAGAAUGUUAUCACGGGAGACACACGGCGGGUGCUAACGUCCGUCGUGAAGAGGGAAACAACCCAGACCGCCAGCUAAGGUCCCAAAGUCAUGGUUAAGUGGGAAACGAUGUGGGAAGGCCCAGACAGCCAGGAUGUUGGCUUAGAAGCAGCCAUCAUUUAAAGAAAGCGUAAUAGCUCACUGGUCGAGUCGGCCUGCGCGGAAGAUGUAACGGGGCUAAACCAUGCACCGAAGCUGCGGCAGCGAACGUAUCACCCAAGACAACUUUACGGAGUUGACGAUUGACGGAGCGAAGCGACGUCAAAGCGUUCAUUAAAGUCGAGUUGGCUUAGGGAUACGUUCGUUGGGUAGGGGAGCGUUCUGUAAGCCUGCGAAGGUGGCCUGUGAGGGUUGCUGGAGGUAUCAGAAGU
This 666-nucleotide ribosomal RNA is filed under the name Salmonella enterica. Its description in RNAcentral is "partial 23S ribosomal RNA". It matches the Rfam family "Bacterial large subunit ribosomal RNA", at positions 711 to 1289 of the family's 2925-position model. RNAcentral also lists the same sequence under 1 other name. Lineage: Bacteria; Pseudomonadati; Pseudomonadota; Gammaproteobacteria; Enterobacterales; Enterobacteriaceae. The record is from RNAcentral.